This 506-nucleotide ribosomal RNA is filed under the name uncultured bacterium. RNAcentral's name for it is "partial 16S ribosomal RNA". It matches the Rfam family "Bacterial small subunit ribosomal RNA", at positions 29 to 523 of the family's 1533-position model. The record is from RNAcentral.
AGUGAACGCUGGCGGUAGGCCUAACACAUGCAAGUCGAACGGCAGCACAGAGGAGCUUGCUCCUUGGGUGGCGAGUGGCGGACGGGUGAGGAAUACAUCGGAAUCUACUCUGUCGUGGGGGAUAACGUAGGGAAACUUACGCUAAUACCGCAUACGACCUACGGGUGAAAGCAGGGGACCUUCGGGCCUUGCGCGAUUGAAUGAGCCGAUGUCGGAUUAGCUAGUUGGCGGGGGAAAGGCCCACCAAGGCGACGAUCCGUAGCUGGUCUGAGAGGAUGAUCAGCCACAAUGGAACUGAGCCACGGUCCAGACUCCUACGGGAGGCAGCAGUGGGGAAUAUUGGACAAUGGGCGCAAGCCUGAUCCAGCCAUACCGCGUGGGUGAAGAAGGCCUUCGGGUUGUAAAGCCCUUUUGUUGGGAAAGAAAUCCAGCUGGCUAAUACCCGGUUGGGAUGACGGUACCCAAAGAAUAAGCACCGGCUAACUUCGUGCCAGCCGCCGCCGUAA